AAAUUGAAGAGUUUGAUCAUGGCUCAGAUUGAACGCUGGCGGCAGGCCUAACACAUGCAAGUCGAACGGUAACAGGAAGCAGCUUGCUGCUUCGCUGACGAGUGGCGGACGGGUGAGUAAUGUCUGG
This 127-nucleotide ribosomal RNA is filed under the name Escherichia coli. RNAcentral's name for it is "partial 16S ribosomal RNA". It matches the Rfam family "Bacterial small subunit ribosomal RNA", at positions 1 to 120 of the family's 1533-position model. Lineage: Bacteria; Pseudomonadati; Pseudomonadota; Gammaproteobacteria; Enterobacterales; Enterobacteriaceae. The record is from RNAcentral. RNAcentral also lists the same sequence under 8 other names.